GAUGAACGCUGGCGGCGUGCUUAACACAUGCAAGUCGAACGGAAAGGCCCAAGCUUGCUUGGGUACUCGAGUGGCGAACGGGUGAGUAACACGUGGGUGAUCUGCCCUGCACUUCGGGAUAAGCCUGGGAAACUGGGUCUAAUACCGGAUAGGACGAUGGUUUGGAUGCCAUUGUGGAAAGUUUUUUCGGUGUGGGAUGAGCUCGCGGCCUAUCAGCUUGUUGGUGGGGUAAUGGCCUACCAAGGCGUCGACGGGGAGCCGGCCUGAGAGAGUGUACGGCCACAUUGGAAUUGAGAUACGGCCCAGACUCGUACGGGAGGCAGCAGUGGGGAAUAUUGCACAAUGGGCGCAAGCCUGAUGCAGCGACGCCGCGUGGGGGAUGACGGCCUUCGGGCUGUAAACACCUUUCGCUAGGGACGAAGCGUUUUUGUGACGGUACCUGGAGAAGAAGCACCGGCUAACUACGUG
This 468-nucleotide ribosomal RNA is filed under the name uncultured bacterium. Its description in RNAcentral is "partial 16S ribosomal RNA". It matches the Rfam family "Bacterial small subunit ribosomal RNA", at positions 28 to 507 of the family's 1533-position model. The record is from RNAcentral.